Molecule: unclassified non-coding RNA, 1313 nt
Filed under: Hevea brasiliensis (rubber tree)
Lineage: Eukaryota; Viridiplantae; Streptophyta; Magnoliopsida; Malpighiales; Euphorbiaceae
Source: RNAcentral
GCAAGACUCAAUAUCUUCUCACGGAGCCAUGAAUGAGAAGGCCUCAAAAUCUUGAGGUUUCAGAAACCAGUUCUUGAAAUUUGAACUUCCUUUAAAGGUUUCUGAAGCUACAUUAUAUUCUUGCGACUUAUCCUUUAGUUCUCGAUAAGAGUUCCCAACGAAAGCAUGUUCACCUAAGCAAUUACAUGACAGUGAUAAGAAGGAUUCCGAAAGGCGCUUCUUGCAUAAAGAAGACUCGGUGGAAGGAGACAUAGCGCCCUUUGCAGAAGUGCCCUGCUUCCUGCCAGUGGUUCCAAGAAUGACUUCAUGCAAUCCAGAGUUGUUCCAGCAUAUGGAGUACCCACAUGUUAAAGUAGUCAGAGCAGUUUCAGAAUGUUGAAACUCCUCGGGUGGAAUUGACGCAACAAAGACAAGUGGCUUGUUUACUUGAAAUGGAUCCAUUAACUUGUUGGACAAUGGUAAGAUACGCUCGUAUGUAGCCCUCAUCACUUCAUCUUCAAUAAUAGAGGUUUUUGAAGCUAUAUGGGAUUGUCCAAUGGUCACAGAAGAAAUAUAAAUUGGCUCCAAGAAGUAAGAAAGUAGAGCUCCUUGUACACCAACCACGUUCCAACGGGCAAUUUUAUCAGAGCAGCUGACUGACAAAGUUGUAUCUCCACGGCCAGGUUUUCGCAUGACUGUACCAAGGGGUAUGGGGAAAGAACCAUCAUUCAUAGCAGUAUAUCCCGACGAGUCCCCUUUUGAAUAACUAAGUUGCAUAGAUGGGCACAUCAUGUCCCCAUUCUUUGCAGGACUAUCAUGCAAUAAAGCAAGCUCUGAACCUGGUGAGGCAACUCCACAGGGUAAUUGUGAAAUGUACAAAUGUAACUGCCACCCGCGCUUCAUUUUCAAUUUUUUUGUUCCUAAACCAUCACUCUCCAAAUGGAACAUGAAGUUGUCCACAUCAUCACAUAACACACUUCCAUUGCUACGUGCAUGACUAUUGUAAACAUCUUGAAUCUCUGAAUACAAGUACCUUAGUAGAGCUCUUCUUGCGAUAAUUUCAGCAUGCGAAUCAUUCACAACAUCUCCAUUCGAACUCCGUCGCGAACGGCCUAUGCAUUUUGUUCCCGUUCCCAGCGAAAUCACUUUCAGUUCUUGUGAAGGUGAAGAUACAAGAAAAGCAGCCAAAACAGUGACUUCACGGCCUUGAGGUUUUCCUUUCUUCGGUAGACGGUGGUAUACCGAGAGCACUGCUUCUGAUACUUUCUCACCCCACUGUUUCUCCGGUGCUGGAGACGGAGCUUGCGCCGUUUCUCCGGCAGUCUCCAUAGUUU